Long non-coding RNA from Gadus macrocephalus (Pacific cod), 4397 nucleotides. RefSeq lists it as uncharacterized. The transcript has 3 exons. Lineage: Eukaryota; Metazoa; Chordata; Actinopteri; Gadiformes; Gadidae. The record is from RefSeq and is a predicted model, not a curated record.
AGCCACUGUUGUGUUCCUAUCAGAGAGAAACCACACAGACACAACUUAGCGAGUGAAAAGACAGAGACACUUUCUUGAUUACGCCCCAGAACGACACAGGGGUUGAACACUCACUUCUGGAUUGAAAGAAAAGAGGCAUAAGGGUUGUACUGUUUUACCCUCCAGUGUUCCAUGGAGGUUAAUUACUAUUUGGGGUAUUUGGUUGCUGAUUUUGGCCGCCCCGAGCACUGAAACUCGACCUGUUGGACUUUCACCGGGAGGAUGGAAGAUGAAGGCUGCUUUCCACGGUUUAUUAGAACCUGACUCAUAGACUAGAUUGUGCUCUCAUGUGCUCGAGUCACGGUCAAUAACCUCACAUUGAAAUCCUGAGUGAAUUCAAAUCAAAGAGUGGAUGAUUUCAUCGUUUCAAAGGCGGAUGAAGUAAGCUGAGGACAUUUGUGCACCAUCUGCAAUACAAGCUUAUUUUCAAAUCACCUUUGAUAACCUGCAAACUGACCAGCGUCAGAGAAGGCAAAGCAUGAAGGUGCUGAGUGGUCCACUGGUCGAUCUGACCCUACUGCUCAGACAAACAGUCGGCCAGACAGACGGCUCUAUGCCCUUCGCUUUUCUAGGCCUUGUGCUGUUUGUAUCUGUCUGCCUGCUACUGUGUCAAUUGAUAGUCUACAUUUGGUGGAAACUAGGACAAGUGGACGAGCUGUCGGUGUUUCCGCAGGACAGGGGCGCCAUCUUCAGGCCACUUCACGACACUGCGUCGGCCAAGCGGAGGAGCGUCUGGUCGCAAUACAGCUACACAGCACAACAAGACUCCAACUAACGAAACGAAUGGCUUCACUUAUCGUUUUCAGAAGUUCAUUGCUGUGAUGUUGUAGGUAGCGGGACUAUAGUCGGCUUCGGAGCUGUGGCACAGCAGAAUGGCAAAUACAUGUUACAGGACUGGAAAGCACCUUUGGGAAGCAAGUGUCAAUGUUUUAAUAUUAAAUUAAAUAAACCCCAUCAACAAUUCAACCUCCUACCUCUAGCUUCUUACAUCCCAGUCACCAUUUUAUGAUUAAAUGGCGAUAAUAUUGUGUUAGCCACUGUUCCGUUGUUAUUAGGUGUUCGAUUAAAAUUAAAAUUAUGUAGAAGAAAACAUUAAAAAAAAUGGAUUUAGCCAUUUUUAUAACACUAAAAAGGGGCCUUAUUGGCGGAAAGAAGAAUAACGGAAUGAGGUGUUGUGAAAAACAAAUGGAUGAAAACCCUUUCUUCAGAGUAUAACAAUCCUUUAUUUAAACAGUGUUACACAAGACAGGGGUGGCUGUGAAGGGAUGUGCACGACACAUUUUAAUAUCAAGCUGCUCAUAAGUGAAACUAUUGGUGGUCAUUGGUUGGCUAAGAGAGAAUCGAGGGCGGGGCUCUUCUAAGGAAGCUCCAGUGCCUGAUGGCCCACAACUGGGCACACUGUUAACUGAUGGAGGGGUUUGCUCUUCCAAAAUAAUGUACUUAUGCAGUUAUACAGGUCGAGUUAAAACAUGGUUAAAAAGUGAUACACCAAUCUUACUUGUGUAAUUCAACAAAUUAACUGUACCCAUGCGUUCAUUACAUUUAGCGGGUACCUGAAACAUUUGAAAAAAGUUUUCUAUCCUGGUUGCUUUUGUUCUUGAAGCCAGAAAUAAAUAAGCCUACAGAGAAAUAAGACAAUGUUCGAGGUGGUAAUGAGCGUUUCCGUGGUAAGACGAUAAUCGGUUGCUCAAGAUGGACUAGGGGGCGAAUCUAUCAUUUAGUCCAAGGUUCUUUUUACGGCUUUUGGUUAAAACAAAACAAAUAUCAAUUAAGUGGUAUCUCCAACACUAAAAGAUCCAUUGUGUUCAAAUGAGUACAUAUAUCUAGGAAGACCAACCUCCAGGGAACAGGGAUCCUGAGCUCUGGGUCCAGAUACAGCACCAACGCCCCUGGGAAUCCAGUCAAACUGAGCUAUGCUCCUGGAAGAGGACUCCAAUGAUGUGAAUCAUAUUUGUGUGUUUCUUUUCUUUAAACCUUCCACACACACACACGCAGAAGAAAGAAAAUGAAAUCACUCUAAAAUAUAUAAAGAGAUAUCAAAGAGAGUAUACCGAGGGCCAAGUGUCAGACGCAACAGGUUCACAGAGAAAAGACAUUCAAUUAAAAUGGAGGAAAAAAAAAUACAAAAAGAUGAUUACAUUGAAGUUGAAUCAUUUUUUUAGUAAGCGAUGCUUUUGGAAAUGGUUUUGUUGUUGAGAGGGUCGACCAGGUGACCCACCCUCUGGAAUGUCAUAUAACAGCAUAGUAGUAUUCAGACCGGCGUCUCCCAAUAGAGUACCAUGUUGGCUUCAUUGAAUUAUCUCGAUAGUUAAAAAGAGUACGGUGGUCAAUAGAAGCUGGCUAAAUGUAUCGCCUCAAAUAAAAAAUACAAUACAAAAAAAAAAAAUGAAAUGGAAAACCAAAACAUUUGGAUAAGUCACACCAAAUCCGUUCACUUCUCUGCAUAACAUUUUGCUUGGCAACAGAGACUAAAGUUCUGCAACAGAUGCAAAGCUUGUUUACAUCCACCACACUAGAUUCAUGUUCGUCCACGUAAACACCAGAAUAUAGAUGUUGACAGAGGUCUUAUUGGGGCUGAAAAGAACAAGGUCAAACAGUCCUGGGCAAUCGUUCUUAUAAUCAGAUCUUUUUACAGUUGUUUUGUAUUGCGGUGCCUUGCUGGAACACAGCACUUGCACCAGAACCGGUCAAAAAGGCUACAAAAUAUGGGAGGUGAAUGCGAUUGUAAUUCUCACAACUUUCUCCCUCAAUCCUCCAGACUGCACAUCAAACAUCACAUCUCAGGUCUAGCCCAGAUGGGAGCUCUACACAUCCCGACACGUGUUCACUUAGUCUUCCAGUUAGUCUCUCUCAUCAGUACAGCCAGUUUCUCGCAUCUCCACGGCCAAACAUGCGCUUCAAAGAUCCUUCUGAGCUUUUGGUUUUAACUUUUAUAGAUUAUAGUGAGGGCCAAUAGCGCACCACACCAGGCGCCUCGUUGUCGAGAUACAGUACAACACACACAAGGAAAAAUAAUUUUGUCAAGUCCAGAUACGUUUGCUGUUGCAAUAUUUUGGUCCCGUCGCAUGUUGUAAUAUGCAUAUUAUAAAAAAUGCCAGUUUUUCGUUUCACUACCGUACCUCAAAGCCUGUGUGUGUAUGACAACCCAGUAUUUAUCCAGGAUUCAGAACAGCUCAACUGCCCAUGUGCUGUGCAACCAAUCAAGCGGUACCUCAACGAUGACCCCGAACCAAUCGAUGAAACCGAACUAAUCGAUGAAGCCUAAUUAAUCGCUCAACAUGCCAGCUAUCUCUUCUCCCCGCGGCACAACAAAAACACGUUUGAACCGAACAAUUACUACAAGAACCGAAGGAGCCCAAGUUCGUGUUGCGAUCGAGAACCACAUCAACUGAAUGUUGUUGUGCUACUCCCAUUUAUCAAUAAUGACGGAUAAAUAUGUAUUAUUUACCGUGAAACCAACCUAACCAAUAUUUGACCUGCAGACGGAAAACGGGUUUUUAAAAAAAAGUGUCUCCCUUAACUGUGUCAUGCACCAUUUGGAUUCCAAGGAUGAAUUUGUUUUGAAACCAAGUUUAGAUUGGCUGGUGUAUAACGGUCUUUAAAAUAAUUUCCAUAGUAAACAGGUUUUUAUAACAUCUCAAAUGGUAAUAAAAAACGAAGAUACAUUUAAAAACAAACUGGCUUUCAGCACAAGUCACCGACGUAGGAAUGUGGAUGACGUUACAGCAAAGAGGGGUAGUGGUGUUACUGUGAAUAUUUCAAUUACAGCUCCCUUUCUAUAGCGGCUGCUUAUGACUAAUGCAAACCAAAUGGACACCACCAUUCCCUCGACACAAAUGCCUGGCAAAAUGGAACAUGACGAAAACACUUGGAUCCUAGAUACAACGGGUCAAGACCGGUCUGCCAUUCCUCCUGCAGAAUUAGCCAUCUCCCCACGAAGACUAUUUCAAUCCAUGUUCCAUCCUAGCUCCACUGUAACGAGAGAUAGCCAGAGAUGGAAUAUGGGAGGGAUGUUUUGUAUUUGUUAAAUGUUUUUAAAUGAUGGGAAACGACUAAUACCAUGUGCUGAUAACAGCACGAUGCAAAUUGCUUUGGUGUAAUUAGUCUAAAAGUACAUUAGUCUGUGUGUAUUUGGUCCUGCGUAACCAGUUUAUGGGAUACUCCAGAUUACAGUACUGGUUGAAAUACUACCAUCACACCUCCUAUCAGACAUGGUAUCAGCUUCUCCAAGGAUUUAUGUUCUCUUUUGCGAAAGCAUACAAAUUGGAGAAAAAAAAAAGCACUAUUAAAACAAUUGGAAUAAAAACACGCUACAAAUGUUAUGCUAACAAAGUGGUUCUUUUUUUUCCUUCUGAAAG